RNAcentral lists this ribosomal RNA (484 nucleotides) under uncultured bacterium. RNAcentral's name for it is "partial 16S ribosomal RNA". It matches the Rfam family "Bacterial small subunit ribosomal RNA", at positions 30 to 507 of the family's 1533-position model. The record is from RNAcentral.
AUUGAACGCUGGCGGCAGGCCUAACACAUGCAAGUCGAGCGGAUGAAGGGAGCUUGCUCCUGGAUUCAGCGGCGGACGGGUGAGUAAUGCCUAGGAAUCUGCCUGGUAGUGGGGGAUAACGUCCGGAAACGGGCGCUAAUACCGCAUACGUCCUGAGGGAGAAAGUGGGGGAUCUUCGGACCUCACGCUAUCAGAUGAGCCUAGGUCGGAUUAGCUAGUUGGUGGGGUAAAGGCCUACCGAGGCGACGACCCGUAACUGGUCUGAGAGGAUGAUCAGUCACACUGGAACUGAGACACGGUCCAGACUCCUACGGGAGGCAGCAGUGGGGAAUAUUGGACAAUGGGCGAAAGCCUGAUCCAGCCAUGCCGCGUGUGUGAAGAAGGUCUUCGGAUUGUAAAGCACUUUAAGUUGGGAGGAAGGGCAGUAAGUUAAUACCUUGCUGUUUUGACGUUACCAACAGAAUAAGCACCGGCUAACUUCGUG